AAUCCAGAAAGUAAACCGGUUGGAGAGGCAUCAAAUAAACCAAAAGAUAAACCCGCUGGAGGACCAACAGAUAAUCCAGAAAGUAAACCGGUUGAAGAGGCAUCAAAUAAACCAAAAGAUAAACCUGCUGGUGGGUCAACAGAUACGCCAGAAGCUGGAAAGACAUCAAAUAAACCAAAAGAUAAACCCGCUGGAAGACCAACAGAUAAGCCAGAAAGUAAACCGGCUGGAGAGGCAUCAAAUAAACCAAAAGAUAAACCCGUUGGUGGACCAACAGAUAAACAAGAAAAUAAACCAGCCGAAGGAUCAGCAGAUAAACCAAAAGAUAAACCUGCUGAAGGACCAACAGAUAAACCGACCGGAGGGGCUGCAAAUAAACCGGCUGGAGAAGCAGCAAACAAACCGACUGGAAAACCGAAAAAUAAACCGGCUGGAGAGAAUAAACCACCGGCAU
RNAcentral lists this long non-coding RNA (454 nucleotides) under Brassica napus (rape). RNAcentral's name for it is "long non-coding RNA (BNAP_LNC008995)". Lineage: Eukaryota; Viridiplantae; Streptophyta; Magnoliopsida; Brassicales; Brassicaceae. The record is from RNAcentral.